AGAGUUUGAUCAUGGCUCAGAUUGAACGCUGGCGGCAGGCCUAACACAUGCAAGUCGAGCGGUAGCACAGAGAGCUUGCUCUCGGGUGACGAGCGGCGGACGGGUGAGUAAUGUCUGGGAAACUGCCUGAUGGAGGGGGAUAACUACUGGAAACGGUAGCUAAUACCGCAUAAUGUCGCAAGACCAAAGUGGGGGACCUUCGGGCCUCAUGCCAUCAGAUGUGCCCAGAUGGGAUUAGCUAGUAGGUGGGGUAACGGCUCACCUAGGCGACGAUCCCUAGCUGGUCUGAGAGGAUGACCAGCCACACUGGAACUGAGACACGGUCCAGACUCCUACGGGAGGCAGCAGUGGGGAAUAUUGCACAAUGGGCGCAAGCCUGAUGCAGCCAUGCCGCGUGUGUGAAGAAGGCCUUCGGGUUGUAAAGCACUUUCAGCGGGGAGGAAGGCGAUAAGGUUAAUAACCUCAUCGAUUGACGUUACCCGCAGAAGAAGCACCGGCUAACUCCGUGCCAGCAGCCGCGGUAAUACGGAGGGUGCAAGCGUUAAUCGGAAUUACUGGGCGUAAAGCGCACGCAGGCGGUCUGUCAAGUCGGAUGUGAAAUCCCCGGGCUCAACCUGGGAACUGCAUUCGAAACUGGCAGGCUAGAGUCUUGUAGAGGGGGGUAGAAUUCCAGGUGUAGCGGUGAAAUGCGUAGAGAUCUGGAGGAAUACCGGUGGCGAAGGCGGCCCCCUGGACAAAGACUGACGCUCAGGUGCGAAAGCGUGGGGAGCAAACAGGAUUAGAUACCCUGGUAGUCCACGCCGUAAACGAUGUCGAUUUGGAGGUUGUGCCCUUGAGGCGUGGCUUCCGGAGCUAACGCGUUAAAUCGACCGCCUGGGGAGUACGGCCGCAAGGUUAAAACUCAAAUGAAUUGACGGGGGCCCGCACAAGCGGUGGAGCAUGUGGUUUAAUUCGAUGCAACGCGAAGAACCUUACCUGGUCUUGACAUCCACAGAACUUUCCAGAGAUGGAUUGGUGCCUUCGGGAACUGUGAGACAGGUGCUGCAUGGCUGUCGUCAGCUCGUGUUGUGAAAUGUUGGGUUAAGUCCCGCAACGAGCGCAACCCUUAUCCUUUGUUGCCAGCGGUUAGGCCGGGAACUCAAAGGAGACUGCCAGUGAUAAACUGGAGGAAGGUGGGGAUGACGUCAAGUCAUCAUGGCCCUUACGACCAGGGCUACACACGUGCUACAAUGGCAUAUACAAAGAGAAGCGACCUCGCGAGAGCAAGCGGACCUCAUAAAGUAUGUCGUAGUCCGGAUUGGAGUCUGCAACUCGACUCCAUGAAGUCGGAAUCGCUAGUAAUCGUAGAUCAGAAUGCUACGGUGAAUACGUUCCCGGGCCUUGUACACACCGCCCGUCACACCAUGGGAGUGGGUUGCAAAAGAAGUAGGUAGCUUAACCUUCGGGAGGGCGCUUACCACUUUGUGAUUCAUGACUGGGGUGAAGUCGUAACAAGGUAACCGUAGGGGAACCUGCGGUUGGAUCACCU
RNAcentral lists this ribosomal RNA (1528 nucleotides) under Klebsiella pneumoniae. RNAcentral describes it as "bacterial SSU rRNA". It matches the Rfam family "Bacterial small subunit ribosomal RNA". The record is from RNAcentral. Lineage: Bacteria; Pseudomonadati; Pseudomonadota; Gammaproteobacteria; Enterobacterales; Enterobacteriaceae.